Molecule: ribosomal RNA, 100 nt
Filed under: Astragalus praeteritus
Lineage: Eukaryota; Viridiplantae; Streptophyta; Magnoliopsida; Fabales; Fabaceae
Description: partial 18S ribosomal RNA
Rfam family: Eukaryotic small subunit ribosomal RNA
Source: RNAcentral
CUGCCCGGGAACGUUGUGAGAAGUCCACUGAACCUUAUCAUUUAGAGGAAGGAGAAGUCGUAACAAGGUUUCCGUAGGUGAACCUGCGGAAGGAUCAUUG